Molecule: ribosomal RNA, 119 nt
Filed under: Pteropus alecto (black flying fox)
Lineage: Eukaryota; Metazoa; Chordata; Mammalia; Chiroptera; Pteropodidae
Source: RNAcentral
GUCUAUGGCCACGCUACCCUAAACAUGCCCGAUCCUGUCUGAUCUCGGAAGCUAAGCAAGGUUGGGCCUGGUUAGUACUAAGAUGGGAGACCACCUAGGAAGACCAGGGGCUGUAGGUG